RNAcentral lists this unclassified non-coding RNA (253 nucleotides) under uncultured Myxococcales bacterium. RNAcentral's name for it is "contains 16S-23S intergenic spacer region". It matches the Rfam family "Bacterial small subunit ribosomal RNA", at positions 524 to 776 of the family's 1533-position model. The record is from RNAcentral. Lineage: Bacteria; Pseudomonadati; Myxococcota; Myxococcia; Myxococcales.
UACAGAGGGUGCAAGCGUUGUUCGGAAUUGCUGGGCGUAAAGCGCGUGUAGGCGGCGGCAUAAGUCGACUGUGAAAGCCCUUGGCUCAACCAAGGAAGUGCAUUCGAUACUGUGUCGCUUGAGUACCGGAGGGGAUGGCGGAAUUCCUGGUGUAGAGGUGAAAUUCGUAGAUAUCAGGAGGAACACCUGUGGCGAAGGCGGCCAUCUGGACGGUAACUGACGCUGAGACGCGAAAGCGUGGGUAGCAAACAGG